RNAcentral lists this unclassified non-coding RNA (240 nucleotides) under soil metagenome. RNAcentral's name for it is "partial contains 5.8S ribosomal RNA, internal transcribed spacer 2, and large subunit ribosomal RNA". The record is from RNAcentral.
AACCUUAUGGACCUGCGGGCGUAUACCUGCGGAGGGAUCAUUAUUGAGUGUAACCCCCCCGUAAAAAAGGGGGGUACCCUCCCGUCCUUUGCAGGCCUUUUAGGGGCUUUUUAGACUUUCUGCUUCGGUGGGGUAAACCCACCGGAACACCCUCAAAAUUCUUUUAUGAAAUUGUUCAGUCCGAGAAUUUUUUUAAAAGCGAAAAACUUUUAACAACGGAUCUCAGAUCGGAAGAGCACA